AAUAAAAUGCUAAUAUAGGUUUAAAACCUACAUUAGCUAAAACGUUUGAUAGGCUUAAAACACUCUUAUAAACCUCUGAUAAAAAACGUUAUUCAUAAUCGUUUAUAAACCUUUGAUAACUAAAACAGAGUUUAAUAUUUUCUUUCCACAGACUAUACAAAAAGAAUGAACGAAAACAGCUUUUUUGGUGAUUUAACUUGAUGGACCAUGUAAAAUCAUAGACAAAUCGCAGAAAAAAAAAACAAAAAAUUGGCAGCUGUGACGUUUUACUUACUGACAUUGACAUUUGGCACGAAAAUUUAAUAAAGUUUUCGGUUUUUUCGAUCAACUCCCAAGUUUUAUCAAACUUUUAUAAAACUUGGGAUUGUAUGUUCUGGAUUCUGUACCUCUUACCCUGUACUCUGCAAUAAGCUCUUACGACGACCCGGCUAGUUACAUCGGAUACUAAUUAUGUCCAUGACGAAGGAGAACAGACCGCCUAAAAGGCAACGAUCAGAAAACUGGUUGGAGGAAGAUAAGUAUUUGCUGAAAGAGUUGGUGAAAGAAAGAGUAAAUGCAAUCGAAAAUAAAAAUACAGACACUAACACGAAUAAACGGAAGGUUGCGGCUUGGGCUGAUUUACAAACAACGUUUAAUUCAAUGUGCGCUGGUAUGAACCGCUCCAUUACCCAGUUAAAAUCGCAAUGGAGCCUCAUAAAAAUCAGUGCGAAGAAAGACAAGACCAUUGCUAGGCAGGCUCAAAUUAAAACUGGCGGUGGUCCACCAUUAUCAGUGCCUGACGAUAGGGCUGAUGAUAUAGCAUCUUGGUUGCCCAAUGAAUUUGUAGUCGAUGUUAACAGAUUUGACUCGGACUCAAAUAAAAGUGAAUUAAUUAACAUUCAAGAGGAGGAAUCAACUCAAAAUACGCAAGAUCAGGAAUUGAUAAAUAAUGAAGAAAUCCAAUAUGAAUUGGUGGUACUUGAUGAAGAAAUAGAAGAUACACAUGCUUGUACUACUAGAGGCAUAUUGGAAGAUAAAGAAAAUAAAAAAGUAGAGGCAAAAGAAAAUAAAGCAAAACCUAAUUUUAAAGCACCAGCAAUCAAAA
Long non-coding RNA from Ostrinia nubilalis (European corn borer), 1084 nucleotides. RefSeq lists it as uncharacterized. The record is from RefSeq and is a predicted model, not a curated record. Lineage: Eukaryota; Metazoa; Arthropoda; Insecta; Lepidoptera; Crambidae. The transcript is spliced from 3 exons.